Molecule: small RNA, 724 nt
Filed under: Pongo abelii (Sumatran orangutan)
Lineage: Eukaryota; Metazoa; Chordata; Mammalia; Primates; Hominidae
Description: processed transcript
Source: RNAcentral
GGGGCCAGUCCUAGGUGUUUGGUGGACUGGAAGCUCCAGGGUGCCUCUUCUCGUGACCAGAGCUCUUUCUCUGUCCCCAGAUCCCCAUACCGAGUGUGCCUACGUUCCAGCCGUCUACACCUGUCCCUGAGCGCCUGGAAGCUGUGCAGCGCUACAUCAGGGAGCUGCAGUACAAUCACACAGGGACACAGUUCUUUGAAAUUAAGAAGAGCAGACCUCUGACAGGGCUGAUGGACCUGGCCAAGGAAAUGACCAAAGAGGCCCUGCCAAUCAAAUGCCUGGAAGCCGUGAUCCUGGGAAUUUACCUCACCAACAGCAUGCCCACCCUGGAGCGCUUCCCCAUCAGCUUCAAGACCUACUUCUCAGGGAACUACUUCCGCCACAUCGUACUGGGGGUGAACUUCUCGGGCCGCUACGGUGCGCUGGGCAUGAGCCGGCGCGAGGACCUGAUGUACAAGCCGCCCGCCUUCCGCACGCUCAGCGAGCUCGUGCUGGACUUCGAGGCCGCCUACGGCCGCUGCUGGCACGUGCUGAAGAAGGUGAAGCUGGGCCAGAGCGUGUCACACGACCCGCACAGCGUGGAGCAGAUCGAGUGGAAGCACUCGGUGCUGGACGUGGAGCGCCUGGGCCGCGAUGACUUCCGCAAGGAGCUGGAGCGCCACGCCCGCGACAUGCGGCUCAAGAUUGGCAAAGGGACGGGCCCUCCUUCUCCCACCAAGGACCG